Molecule: transfer RNA, 75 nt
Filed under: Vulcanimicrobiaceae bacterium
Lineage: Bacteria; Bacillati; Vulcanimicrobiota; Vulcanimicrobiia; Vulcanimicrobiales; Vulcanimicrobiaceae
Also listed under: 1 other name
Description: tRNA-Val
Rfam family: tRNA
About the family: Transfer RNA (tRNA) molecules are approximately 80 nucleotides in length. Their secondary structure includes four short double-helical elements and three loops (D, anti-codon, and T loops). Further hydrogen bonds mediate the characteristic L-shaped molecular structure. tRNAs have two regions of fundamental functional importance: the anti-codon, which is responsible for specific mRNA codon recognition, and the 3' end, to which the tRNAs corresponding amino acid is attached (by aminoacyl-tRNA synthetases). tRNAs cope with the degeneracy of the genetic code in two manners: having more than one tRNA (with a specific anti-codon) for a particular amino acid; and 'wobble' base-pairing, i.e. permitting non-standard base-pairing at the 3rd anti-codon position.
Source: RNAcentral
GGGCGAAUAGCUCAGCGGUAGAGCACUCGCUUCACACGCGAGGGGUCGUAGGUUCGAACCCUACUUCGCCCACCA